UAGUGGCGGACGGGUGAGUAACGCGUGGGAAUCUGCCCUCAGGAGGGGGAUAACGGUUGGAAACGACCGCUAAUACCCCAUAUGCCGAGAGGUGAAACGAAAUUCGCCUGAGGAUGAGCCCGCGUCUGAUUAGCUAGUUGGUGGGGUAAAGGCCUACCAAGGCAUCGAUCAGUAGCUGGUCUGAGAGGAUGAUCAGCCACACUGGGACUGAGACACGGCCCAGACUCCUACGGGAGGCAGCAGUGGGGAAUUUUCCGCAAUGGGCGCAAGCCUGACGGAGCAACGCCGCGUGAGGGAUGAAGGCCUCUGGGCUGUAAACCUCUUUUCUCAAGGAAGAAGAACUGACGGGUACUUGAGGAAUAAGCCACGGCUAA
RNAcentral lists this ribosomal RNA (374 nucleotides) under uncultured bacterium. RNAcentral's name for it is "bacterial SSU rRNA". It matches the Rfam family "Bacterial small subunit ribosomal RNA", at positions 93 to 500 of the family's 1533-position model. The record is from RNAcentral.